UAGGGAAUCUUCCACAAUGGGCGAAAGCCUGAUGGAGCAACGCCGCGUGUGUGAUGAAGGGUUUCGGCUCGUAAAGCUCUGUUGUUAAAGAAGAACGUGGGUAAGAGUAACUGUUUACCCAGUGACGGUAUUUAACCAGAAAGCCACGGCUAACUACGUGCCAG
Molecule: ribosomal RNA, 164 nt
Filed under: uncultured bacterium
Lineage: Bacteria
Description: partial 16S ribosomal RNA
Rfam family: Bacterial small subunit ribosomal RNA
Source: RNAcentral